Molecule: ribosomal RNA, 894 nt
Filed under: Helicobacter sp. MO
Lineage: Bacteria; Pseudomonadati; Campylobacterota; Epsilonproteobacteria; Campylobacterales; Helicobacteraceae
Description: bacterial SSU rRNA
Rfam family: Bacterial small subunit ribosomal RNA
Source: RNAcentral
UGCGUAGGCGGGUAGUCAAGUCAGAUGUGAAAUCCUGUAGCUUAACUACAGAACUGCAUUUGAAACUGACUAUCUAGAGUAUGGGAGAGGUAGGUGGAAUUCUUGGUGUAGGGGUAAAAUCCGUAGAGAUCAAGAGGAAUACUCAUUGCGAAGGCGACCUGCUGGAACAUUACUGACGCUGAUGCGCGAAAGCGUGGGGAGCAAACAGGAUUAGAUACCCUGGUAGUCCACGCCCUAAACGAUGAAUGCUAGUUGUUGCCCUGCUUGUCAGGGCAGUAAUGCAGCUAACGCAUUAAGCAUUCCGCCUGGGGAGUACGGUCGCAAGAUUAAAACUCAAAGGAAUAGACGGGGACCCGCACAAGCGGUGGAGCAUGUGGUUUAAUUCGAAGCUACGCGAAGAACCUUACCUAGGCUUGACAUUGAUAGAAUCUGCUAGAGAUAGCGGAGUGCUGGCUUGCCAGAGCUUGAAAACAGGUGCUGCACGGCUGUCGUCAGCUCGUGUCGUGAGAUGUUGGGUUAAGUCCCGCAACGAGCGCAACCCUCGUCCUUAGUUGUUAGCAGUUCGGCUGAGCACUCUAAGGAGACUGCCUUCGCAAGGAGGAGGAAGGUGAGGACGACGUCAAGUCAUCAUGGCCCUUACGCCUAGGGCUACACACGUGCUACAAUGGGACAUACAAAAAGAUGCAAUAUCGCGAGAUGGAGCAAAUCUCUAAAAUGUCUCUCAGUUCGGAUUGUAGUCUGCAACUCGACUACAUAAAGCUGGAAUCGCUAGUAAUCGCAAAUCAGCAAUGUUGCGGUGAAUACGUUCCCGGGUCUUGUACUCACCGCCCGUCACACCAUGGGAGUUGUAUUCGCCUAAGUCGGGCAUACUAAAUUGGUUACCGCCCACGGCGG